CAUUACCACACAAUUUGCGCUGGUGUUCAAAAGGUUCAUGCAAUCCUAUACACCCGAAAAGCCAUCAUAAUUGAUAUUGCCUAAGAAAUGUGUGAUUCAUUACCUAUUACUUAUCGUCUUGCAACAUUCAUAAUCAGUACAAUUUUGUACAGAGUGGUAAGCAUGUGUUCAACAUCGAAAAAUAUUGAAAAACGUAUGGAAAAGUAAACAGUAAACAUACCACUAGAGCUGGUCUCCUUAUCAGUAGAACAGUUUUCGUUCAACGAGAAACUACGCAAAACAAUGAAGUUAAAAACGUUGGUUAAAGCCAUUCUUCCGGCCGUUAUCGAAGCGGUGACAAAACAAUCAACAUGCCCGCCGCUAAAUAUAAAACUUACAAAGCCUUAAAAUGAAAAUUUUAAGAAUAUUUGCAUUUUUUUACCUGACGCUAACGGUAUGUGAAACUUUAGUGAACGUGGACUUACAAACAGUGACAAAAAGUGCAAUCGAAAGUGACAAUCCCUUUUUGUUAAAACUACUACAGUCCGUGGAUGAAGCUCCAAGCAAUGAGUAUUUGUUUGACGUAACAUUAAAGUUACUGAAGAGUUUAUGUAUUUGUAUGCGUGAGACUCUUAGAGAAAAACAGAAAAACCUGUUAUUUACUGGAGAAACAAAUACACUGUACUUCGAAGACAAUUCGCAUGAAGAUGACGUGAAAGUUUUAGAUCUAUACAAGACUAUUUAUAACAAAACGUGCUUUAACUUACAAAAGGACCUGAUCAAGCAUAAUGCCCCUGAACAUACCACUUGCGGAAAAGGAGAAAAUUUAUUACAAAAAAAGGGUAAUGUCGCAAAUCAUACAAACUUUCAUAAAAAUGAACUUGAUUUAAAGGCCAUAUUGUUUAAAUCUUUCAUUCUAACAAAACGAUUUCAUAAUUAUACAGUAAAGAAGCAUCAUUUAUAUAAAAAAGUUCGUGCUCCUGUGUCUAGUCGACCAAAUAAUGGAAUCAUAUUUUUAAUAACAUUUUAUCCGGAUAAUACUAAUAAUCAAAGUAUAUCAUUCAAUACAACAGAAGAUCUUGAUUACACUAUCUUUUCAAAUUCAUUAAUAGACAUAACAAUUUUGACUACGAAAUUGGGAACGGAACGCAAUAGAUAUAGAAAUGAAGUAAAUAGAAACGUAUCAGAAUGCAACUUGCAAUCACUUUAUAUGUUUUUGACUGAAAAUGAGAGUAAAAACUUAACAAGAAAAUUUCGAAUACAUAAAGGAAGAGGACCUCCAAAAAUAUAUAUAGAGACAGUGGUAAAGGAUAACAUUGAUUACCUAAAUACGUGUUGUGAUAACAGAACCAGAACUCCAGAAUGUGAUAAAAAUUCGUUAGAAGAAAGUAUAAAAACUGAUAAUAAAUCAGCUAAAACUUUGGAACAUUAUAAAGAUACGAUUUCCAAAAUUAAAAACUUAGUGAAAUUGUACAAAAAGAGAGUGGAGGGAAAAGAAAAAGUAAACAAUAAAAUGUUCGUUAUGAAUUCAAUAAUUAAGGAUCGCAAUAUUGAAAGGAAUUACUUUAAACUAGAUGCCAAAGAAAUACACAAACUAAGAAAUAACAAAUCAGAACAAAUAAAUGAAAAAAAUAUCAUUAAAACUAUGGAUGUCUUACUGCAUUCGACUACUGAAUAUCUUAAAACUAUGAAAAUAGAUAUGCUAAGAAUAAAAAAUGCUAUGAAUAAUAACAAAAAUAAUACUAAUUUUAAUACAGAUAAAGAUAUGUUUGAAAAGGAAAAUUAUUAUACAUCUAGUUUCAAGAUUAAGCCACUUAACAAUACUAGAUCUAUUGCAGAAAAAAGCACCGACAAAAAUGACGUAAGUUUUUUUGCUACAACCGACUACAAUACCGUUGUACCAACUAGAAGCAUCAUUAUUAAUAACACUAUGUCACAGACAUCCACAUCUGACCACAAAUCAGCUUUUAAAUUAAGCAUUCCAAUACCAUUUAUUACUAAUGAAAUAGGUGAAAACAGUAUCAUGUCAGAAAUUUUAAAAGACUCACAGGAGAUAAAAGCCACGAUUAACAACAUAACAUCCGCAUACACCAAAAAAAUUAAUGAGAUUGAUGAACUGUCAAAAUCAACACAAAAAGUAAAAUUUACCUCCACCACAAAUUUACCAAGCAAUAAAUCAGCAACAGAAAGUUUGAAAAAUUAUGAUGAAAAAAUUGUAACACCUGUUAAAGGUUCUGAGCAGAAACAAACUACGGAAAAUAGCAUUAUAUCUGCAAUUACCAAAAAUAAUAAAAUAGAUGAUAUUGAAGAACCAAUUAAAUCAUCACUGUCAAUAUUAAAAUUAUCCUCCACCACAACUUUACCAAGCAGUAAAUCACAAACAUUAAUUUUAAAUAAUUAUAGUGAAAAUAAUAUUUUGGAGAAUAUUGCAAUAGGUUCAAAGAAGAUGAAAACUCCGGCAAAUGACACAUUAUCUGCAAACACGAGGAGUAAUAAAUUUGAUGAUAUUGAAGAACCAUUGAAAUCAUCACAAUCGACGAAAAAGUUAAAAUUAACCUUUACCGCAACUACACCAAGUAGUAAAUUACAAACACUAAUUUUGGAUCAUCAUAGUAAAAAAAAUGUUAUGCCAAAUAUUGUAAAAGGUACAGAGAAAAUACAAGCUAAGGUUCAUUACAUAAUAUCUGCCAUAACUGAGAAUAAUAAAUUUCAUGACGUGAAAGAACCGUCACAACCAUCCCAAUCGACACAUCAAUUAAAAUUAACCUCCACCGCAAAUAUACCAAGCAGUAAAUCGCAAAAAUUACUUCUGGAGCAUUAUACUGAAAAUAAUAUUAUGUCCAAUAACGUAACAGACACAGAAAUGAUGAAAGCAGCGAUAAAUAACAUAACAUCUACAAACACGAAGAAUAAUAAAUUUAAUAGUAUUGAGGAACCGUCGAAAUCAUCACAGUCGACAAAAAAUUUAAAAUUAGCCUCAACUGCACCAAGCAGUAAAUCAAAUACAAUAGUAUUAGAUCAUUAUGGUAUGGAAAAUAAUACGAUGCCGAAUAUUUUAAAAACUACAGAGAAAACAAUAACUACGACAAACGACAUAAUAUCUGCAAACACGAAAAAUAAUAAAUUUAAUGACAUUGAUGUACCAUUGAAAUCAUUACAGUCGACACAAAAAUUACCCUCCACCACAAUUUUACCGAGCAGCAAAUCACAAACAUUAAUUUUAGAUUAUUAUAAUAAAAAUAAAAUUGUAACAGUUACUGUAAAAGAAAAAAAUGACAUAACCUCUGUAUACACCAAGAGUAAUACAUUUGACAAUAAUGAAGAAAUAUUGAACUCAGGAAAUGGCAAACAAAAAUUAAAAUCAUCCCCCACCACCACUAUACCAAGCAGUAAAUUAGAAACAAUGACUUUUGCUAAUUAUGAUAAAAAUAAUAAAAUGGCAGUUACUGUAAAACACUCACCGCAGGAAAAAGCUAGGCUAAAUGACAUAACAUCAGCAUAUACCAAGAGUAAUAUAUUUUAUAACAUUGAAGAACCAUCAACAUCAAUAAAGGCAAAGGAAAAAGUAAAAUUAACUGCCGCCACAAUUUUGUCAAGUAGUGAAUCAAACACUUUUUAUCAUUAUGGUAAAAAAGUAAAAGAUUCGCAGCAGAUAAAAACUACGGUAAAUGACAUAACAUCUCCAUAUAUCAAGAGUAUAAUAUUUAAUGACAAUGAAGAACCACUGAACUCAGUAAAUGCGAAACAAAAAUUAAAAUCAACCCCCACCACUACUUUACCAAGCAGUAAAUCGGAAACAUCGAUUUUGGGUCAAUAUGGUGAAAAUAAUAUUAUGCAAGAUAUUGUAAAAGAUUCACCACAAAUAAAACCCACGGCAAAUGACAUAAAAUCUGCAUAUAACAAAAGCAAUAUAUUUCAUAACAAUGAAGAACCAUUGACACCAUUAAAGGCAAAGCAAACAUUGAAAUUAACUGCCCACACAAAUUCACCAAGCAGUAAAUCACAAUCGUUACUUUUGGAUCAUCAUAGUGAAAACAAUAUUCUGCCAGUUACUAUGAAAGACACACCACAGAUAAAAGUUACGGUAAAUGACAUAACCUCUGCAUACACCAAGAGUAAUAAUAAAUUUUAUAACAAUGAAGAAACAUUGAACUCAGUAAAUGGGAAACAAACAUUAAAAUUAUCUUCCACCACAAUUUUCCCAAGCAGUAAAUCACAAACAUUAACUUUGGAUCAUAAUGGAGAAAAUAAUAUUUUGCCAGUUACUAUGAAAGACACACCACAGAUAAAAGCUACGGUAAAUGACAUAACCUCUGCAUACACCAAGAGUAAUAAUAAAUUUUAUAACAAUGAAGAAACAUUGAACUCAGUAAAUGGGAAACAAACAUUAAAAUUAUCUUCCACCACAAUUUUCCCAAGCAGUAAAUCACAAACAUUAACUUUGGAUCAUAAUGGAGAAAAUAAUAUUUUGCCAGUUACUAUGAAAGACACACCACAGAUAAAAGCUACAGUAAAUGACAUAACCUCUGCAUACACCAAGAGUAAUAAUAAAUUUUAUAACAAUGAAGAAACAUUGAACUCAGUAAAUGGGAAACAAACAUUAAAAUUAUCUUCCACCACAAUUUUCCCAAGUAGUAAAUCACAAACAUUAACUUUGGAUCAUAAUGGAGAAAAUAAUAUUUUUCCAGUUACUAUGAAAGACUCGCCGCAGUUAAAAGCUACUGUAAAUGACAUAACAUUCCCAUAUACCAAGAGUAAUACAUUUAAUGACAAUGAAAAAUUAUUGAAUUCAAUAAAUACGAAACAAAAAAAUAAUUUUAAUCCCUCCACCACUAUACCAAGCAGUCAAUCAGAAAUAUCCAUUUUGGGGCAAUAUGGUGAAAAUAAUAUUACGGCAGCUGUAAAAGACUCGCCGCAGAUAAAACCCACGGUAAAUGACAUAAAAUCUGAAUAUACCAAGAGCAAUACAUUUUAUAACAUAGAAGAAUCAUUGACAUCAUUAAAGGCAAAGCAAACAUUGAAAUUAACUCCCAACACAAAUUCACCAAGCAGUAAAUCGCAAUCGUUAAUUUUGGAUCAUCAUAGUGAAAACAAUAUUAUGCCAGUUACUGUAAAUAAAGACUUGUCACAUAUAAAAGCUAAAGUAAAUGACAUAGCAUCUACAUAUACCAUGAGUAACACAUUUAAUGACAAUAAAGAACAAUUAACCUCAUUAAAUGCGAAACAAACACUAGAAUUAACCCCCAUAAGCACUUUACCAAGCAGUAAAUCAGAAACAUCUAUUUUGGGCCAUUACGGUGUAAAUGAUAUUAUGCCAGUUACUGUAAAACACUUACCACAAAUAAAAGCUACGGUAAAUGACAUAACAUAUUCAUAUACAAAAAGUAAUACAGUUUAUGAUAUUAAAGAACCAUUGAAAUUAUAUAGACAAUUAUCCUCUACCACAACUUUACCAAACAGUAUAUCACAAACAUUAAUUUUGGAUCAGUAUGGUGAAAAUAAUAUAAUGCCAGUUACUGUUAAAGACUCACCACAGAUAAAAGCUACAAUAAACGACGUAACAUCUGCCUAUACCAAAAGGGAUAUAUUUUACGAUAUUAAAGAACCAUUAAAAUUAUUGAGACAAUUAUCCUCUACAACAACUUUACCAAGUAAAUCACAAACAUCAAUUUUGGAUCAGUAUGGUGAAAUGGCAGUUACUGUAAAAGACUCAUUACAGAUGAUAGCUACGAUGAAUGAUGUAACAUCAGCAAAUACCAAGAGUAAUACAUUACAUGACAAUGAAGGCCAAUUAACAUCAUCAAAUUUGAAACAAAAAUUGAAAUUAACAGCCGCCACAACUUUACCAAGCAUUAAAUCACAUACAUCAAUUACGGAUUAUGAUGGUGAUAAUAAUGUUGUGUCAAUUACUGCAAAAGAUUUACCACAGGUAAAAGAUACGAUAAAUGACAUAGUAUUUGCACAUACAAAAAGUAAUAAAUUUCAUGAUAAUAAAAAACCAUCGACAACAUCAGACGCAAAAUAUAAAUUGAAAUUAACAUCUACCACAACAUUACCAAGCAGUAAAUCACAAACAUUUAUUUUAGAUUAUAAUGACAAUACUAUUAUGCCAGUAACUGUAAAAGAUAGCCUGCCACUACAGAUAAAAGCUACGGUAAAUGACAUAACGUCUGCAUAUACCAAUAGUAUAUUUGAUGACAUAAACUUCAUCACCACUUCACCAAGCAGCAAAUCAAAAUCGUCAAUUUUGGACAAUUAUGUUGACAAUAAUAUAAUUCCAGUUACUAUAAAAGACUCACUACAGAUAAAAGCUACGGCAAAUGAUAUAACGACUGCAUAUACAAAGAGUAAUACAUUCCAUGACUUUGAAAAACCAUUGACACCACUAAAUGUGACAAAAAAAAGAAAACCAACUUCCACUACAACUUUACCAAGUAGUAAAUCACAAUCAUUAAUUUUGGAUGAUAUGCUAAAAGACUCAACGCAGAUAAAAGCUACUGCGAAUGACAUAACAUCUGCAUACACCAAGAGUAAUAAGUUUUAUGAGACUAAAAAAUCACAAUCGACACAAGAAAUCAAAUUAAUCCCCACGACCUCUUUACGAAGCAGUAAGUCCCAAACAUUAAUUAUGCCUGAUAUUGUAAAAGAAUCAAAGCAGGUAAAGGCUACGAUCAAUGACAUAACAUCUGCAUAUACUACAAGUAAAAAAAUUAAAGACAACGAAGAACCAUUGAAAUCAGAGUCGGUACAAAAAUUAAAAUUAAUUUCUACUAAUAAUUUAUCAAGCAGUAAGUCUCAAACAUUAAUUAUGGAUUCUUAUGGAGAGAAAAGUAAUACUAUAAUGACCAAGACUUUAAAAGACCCAGAGCAAAUAAAAGUUGCGAUCGAUAACACAACAUACACGAAAAGUGACAAGUAUUAUGACAUUGAAGAACCAUUGAAAUCAUCUCAGUCGAUACAAAAUUUAAAAAAAAUAACCUCCACCACUCCUUUACUAAAUAGUAAAUCACAAUCAUUAAGUUUGAAUCAUUAUGAUAAAAACAACGUAACGCCUGUUAUUGCAAACGGCCAAUCGCAGUUAAAAGAUCCGGUAAAUGAAAUAGCAUUUGCAUAUACCAAAAGCAAUAAAUUUAAUAACAUUGAAGUUCCAUCAAAAUCAUCACAAGCGACACAAAAUUUAAAAUUAUUUAAUACAACUUUACCAAGCAGUAAGUUUAUGUAUAAAAAAAUAGAAAACAAUAAUUCCGAAUCUAUUGAAAACGUGACGAAGAAAAUUAAAACUACAGAAAAAAGAGAAACGUAUAAAAGUAAAAAAAUUACAACGGAUAUUAUUGAGACAAACACGUCAUCAACGAUAAACUCGACAUCAAAAAACACAGACAGAGAAAAUGAAAUUACAACAAAUACUUUUGUUAGAAUUGUAACGCCCAAGGUAAAUCUGAGUAGAAAAGGUUUAGUUGAAAAGAUUAAACAUAAUAAUGAAGUAAAUGCCGUCCAGAAUACUUUGAAAAUUUUCAAUUCAAAUGAAAAAUAUUCAACGAUAAUUACAAUGGUUGACAAUGAAAUCAAGACUAAAACUAAUCGCGGUCAAUUGCAAAAGGAAACUAUAAGUAAGGACGAUGCUGUGACAAAACCAACAAGUAACAAUAAAAGUAAAAUUUCAACAAAAGAUAAAUCGAUGGAUAAAAAUAAAAGUGAAACUACAUUUAUUGAUAAACCUACGGAAAAGCUCGAUAUCAAUAAAGAAUUUUCAACGGUAAUUUCAAUAAAUAGUAUAAAUAAUAUGACAAAUAGUAUUGAACCCAAAACGAAGAAUAUAAAUACAAAAGUUUCAAGGUUAAAAUCUAUAGAUAACAAUGAAAGCAAUAUUAUAGAGAAAACAAAGCAAACAUUAUUGUUGAACGAUGAAAUUUCCAAAACCAAUAUUUUAAAUAAAACAGCAACAGAAGCCGGGAAUAUUAAAUCUCUGAAUAACCAUACAACUAAAAAGAAUAUCAGGCAACUAAAUACACCGAAAAUACAUGCAUCGUCAAAAAAUUUCAAUAGAAAAGUACGAAUCCGCAAACAAUACAUGAAAAACUUGAUACCAAACCAAAAAUUUGCACAAACCUGGAAAAGUAAAAUUAAUAAGAAUAAUACUAAAGCUGCAACAAAGGCUUUACAAUAUCAAGCAAAUGUAACGAAACCCGUUAUCAAUAGUAAAGAAACCUACGUUGCUAACAAAACAAUAGAAAACAAAUUGUCUACGAAUUAUGUACCAAGUAAUAAAACAAAUGUAGAUUAUAUAAUAAAUAUGUUGACAACUACAAGUACUCCAAGCAUAUCUAUAAUAGAUAUAAAGCCGAAAGAAAUAACUGAAAAGUAUAAGAAAACCGAAAAUAAUAUCAAAUAUAACAAAGGCACAUACAUGACAUUUAUGAAACUGCCAAAAUAUAAAAGUAAAAUGAUUAAUACGACAAUUAAAACGAUACCAAUUUACAUGCAAGCUAAAAAAGAAAGUAAAUCGACGAAAACCUACGAUAAUCUUAAGUUGAAAAAGAGCUUAACCAUUUCAGGUCCAACGGUACAACCACUAUUGUUCAGGUUCACAAUAAGCUCAGAUUCAUUAGUAUACGCUAAAAAUGAUAAAAACUAUGAGGCUGAGGAAAAUACUAUAUUAGAAGAUACUACAAAAGAAACGACCAAUCCAUUAAAGAUCCAUUCAAGUAAACAUGACAACAAAUUGUAUAUUAUAAAUAGUACAACAACAAAGAAUAUCUUACACACAAAAAAUAAACCAAAUUUAAACAGUUAUAAAGAAAAUACAUUUCGCAGUAUAUUCACAGACAUUACAACAGAAAUCAAUAAUUAUUCAGAGUCUACUCUAGAAACAUAUUCUGAACAAAAAAACAAGGUAAAUAUAGAAAAUGUUACACAUUAUAACUCGGUAUUAUUACAACAACCAGAAGUUACCCUAUUACAAACAACAACAUCCAACAAUCAACCUUUGUAUUAUCAACAAUCAAUAUCCAAGGAACUUUUUGAAAAUAUACCAAUAAAAAAUAUGACCCCAAAAAAUAAAAACUAUUUAAAAAAAUAUCAUGAUACGCAUGCCCUUUCAUUAUCAUCUGAAAUAAGUUCUGGGGAAAGUGAAUAUCAAGACACGAUUCCUGGAAGGACAAAAAUUAUAAAUAAUAAUUAUAUGUUUCAUAAUUUUCUCGAAAGUACAAAUAAUAUUAAAACUACGACUUCUGAAAAUAGUAAUAAAUUUCAUUAUUUUAUACCAGAAUCUUCAUCGCCUGCUUCGAACAACAAUUUCAGUUUACGUGAACAAACUGAACAAAAUCUUAAAAAUAAACAUCCAUCUAUGAACUCUUAUUCCAAUCAAAAAACUAUUACAAUUAACAACAUUACCGAACAUAAAGAAAGAAAAACGAAAAAUUUUAACGAUUUAAAAAAAACAAGCGAGAUGAUUCCUGGGAAAAAAAAUAUUUUUAAUAAUAAUUUAAAUGUGUCUAUUAUUAGUAAUGGUACUGACAAUAAACAUGACAGUACCUUAAAUAAAACAGAUGCUAUCAGUGUCACAGAUAAGCCAAACAUUAGUAAGAAUGAAAAUAAUAAUUCAAUGUUACUUGGUGUUUCUAAAAUGCUUCCUACUAGAUAUAAUAGACCUAGGUUGCGUUUAACUAAAACGAUUAUGAAACAAUUUAAUGUCAUACAUGAAAUCACCUCCUCAGUACGGCCCUCGAAUUCAUUUCAAACAACUACAAGUGAUAUAAAAAAUAAUUUAUAUUCAAUAAAUCAAACUGUAAUUGAAAGAAAACCUUUGGUGAAAAAAUUGAAAGUAACAGAUAAGAUCAAAAAGGACACGAUAAAAAAUAAUACAGAAAAGAUUAAUGAAACGACAAAAAAAUAUAGACUAUACUACAAAAAUUAUAUUCCUUUGACACCACAGAAGAUAACUAAAGAUUCCAUAUUAUCAUCAAAAGAAGACAAUAUACUUGAAGCGAUCGAAAUUAUAUCUAAUAAGAAAAACAAUUUUAACAUUGUAUCUAAGUUACCAAUUGUUUCGCAAAACUCUAGUUUAAGUAAGAAAGAGCGUGAGUGGAAAAAUACUACUGCAAAAACUUCUGAAGUACCACAAAAUGCUUACAGUGCUUCCAAGCAAUCAUUACAAGUAACUUUACCCAUUAUUUAUAACGAAAGUCCAUUUAUUACAGAUAGAACCAAAAAUAUUGACGUAGUUAAAAGUACUGAUAAACCUAAUUACAUGACUGAAAAGUUAAUAAACACAACAAAUGAUGUAGAAUAUAAAACGGAAUAUUAUGUUAUAAAAACUCAAAUAAGUACACCAGUUAUAAUUAACCCGAUAAAUACUACAGAUAAAAUGACAAAAUCAAAUUUUCAAAUAAAACAUAGAACAAAUCGAGAUCCAAAUAUUACAGAAGUAAAAAAUAUAAAUGUAGAAAGAAAUGUUUUAAAUAAAUUAGCCAUAACACCACGGAAUAUAACAAAUGAAAAAUUUGCAACCAAAUAUAAUGGGGCAAUCAAUUUUAUUAAUAACAUUAAUAUUUCUGAAAGUGUUAAACUUACUACACUGCCAUACAAAGAGUAUAAAUUACCAUUUUUAAAUAAUAAGAUUAAAAAUAAAACAUACGUUAAUAAAAUUACAACUGUUCCCAAAUUUACGUUUGGAGAUGUGGCAAUUCCAAAACCUAGCCAUAUAGAUGAAUUAGGAACUACAUAUUAUUCUCCAGUUGCUACCGAAAAUAUUUAUAAGGCAUUGCCAUCAAAUUUUCAGAAAACAUCAAAUGUAAUAGAACCUUUAACCCCAGGUAUUUUAAUAGACAAAUCUGAAAAACCCAUGAGUCGCUUUGAUUUCCCGGAUAUUUUAACACAUUACUCAAGCACAGAGGCAAUUUCUGUAACAAAAGAUAAAAAUAAACAAACAACUGUAUUCAGUGACGCAUUUGACAAAUAUGUUAAAAAGUCUAAAAAUGAAAUAAGUCAGAUAACUUUAAAACCUUUAAUUACAAACAGUACUGUUAUAUAUUGGAAUACCACACAAACGCUGAACAGAGGUUUUGCAGAUUUAUUGAAACCACUAAACGUGGCAGUAGUAGAUAGCAAAUUUAUUGAUUCUUAUAUCAAAAAUAAUAGUCAUGUAAAUAGAACGAAUUAUGAUAAUAUGUUGAUAACUACAGAUCAUAUAAUGACAGAUAAAACCAAAGAAACAAUAAAUAAAACAAGUGCAAGUAAAACAGAGUCACAAUCUCCUAUUGAUAAAACAUUUUCUCAUAUAACAAAAGUAUAUUUUACUUUAAUACAAUCAAAAGAAUUAAGUGAAUCGAGUACAAAUAAGAGUACAGCACAAAAGAGUAUUGUCGGUGCUGAUAUAACACACAAUCCGAAACAAAAUUAUGUUGUUAUUAAAAGUCAAACUAUACCUUCAAUGGAUAAACAUAUUACAAAUUCGGACGAAAAUGACAAGGAGGCGCAAAAUUUUAAAACCAAAACAGAAUUUAUUCCUGCUCUUUUGACAAAUAAAACAAAUGAAAUUAUUUCUACUUCAAGAAUAAGUAAUAUGGAGUCACAAAAUAUAUCUCCGAAUGAUAAAACAAGAACUUAUAUAACGGAAGUUCCUUUCGCGUUACAUUUAGAACAGUUUGGAAGUCAUUUGAGUACAAAUAUACCCGUACAAACCUACUCGAGUAGAACUAAUGAAAAAAAAAUUAAUAUCGUUGAUGUAUCAAUUUUGCCAAAUUUUAAGGUGACAGAAAACAACCAACAUGCUAAUUUAGAAAGCCCACCGAAGUCGUAUCAAAAUACUGUAAAUAAAUAUAAAUUAACUAAUAAAAAACAAAUUCAAAACGAAGAUUUUCAUUUUAAGUCGGAAAUUGAAAUAUUACCAAAUCGAAUAGAUAUGACUACAUCUGCUUUAAAUAAAAACGGAAAACAUUCUGAUGGUACUAAUAAUAUAGAAAUGCCAGGAAUAGAUGUAAAUUUUUCAGGGCGAUAUAAAAUUUUUAAUGAAUACCCAAAUACGUCUCCUAUUACUACAACUACUAUCCAAAAUUCAAUAAAUAGAUUUAAUGAUAUCCAGUUUGAAACCACACAACACAACGCUUUCGUUGAAAGCAUAACAAAAUCGUUAAUGCCAGCCGAACAAUUUGAUGCAUAUACAAAAGAAAUCAAAAUAAAAAGUAAUAAUUACACAGCUGCAACUGAUAAUACCGAAGAAAUAAAACUCACUCUAACCAAUAAAAUGAGUGUAAGUAAAACGGAGUCGCAAGAUUUAUCUCCGACCAACGAAAAGUUUACUUAUCCAACUGAAGUCCCCUUCCCAAUAACGCAUUUAGAAGAAUUAAGUGAUUCGAGCACAAAUAAAGAAACCUACACGAGUAAUUUCCGUCCCGAUACAUACAAACUGAAAAAGAUUUUUGUGGCUAAUAAAAGUCACAAUACGCCAUUAACUGAUUAUGAUCAGAAUUUCCAAACAAAACAAGAAUUAAUUUCUUCUGAAAUUAAAUAUAAGAUAGAAGAAAUAUAUACUACCCCUGCCAAAAAUAAGAGUAUGAAUAUUUCGGAGUACCAUCAUGUGUCUCCCACUAAUGGAACAUUAACUUAUAACAACAACUUGACACAUUCAGGAGCGUCAAGUGAAUCGAGCACAAAUAAAGAUGCAAAAAUCUACACGAAAAAAGCAACUUCAAAACCGACUAUUAUCAGUUUCGACAUUCAAACAAGACAGCAAUCUAUUCUUCCUAAAAUGGCGGAUAAAACUGAAGAAUUGAUAUAUCCCAAGACCAAUAAAAUAAGUGUAAAUAAGACGAAGUCACAAAAAUCAUUUAUGGAUACACUUGUUCAACAUUCGGAUAGAAUUGAUAAAGACACUCGAAUUUUCCAAACAAAAGAUGUUUAUAAUCUGAAAAAGAUUAGUGAAGCCGUUAAAAGUCAAAAUAUGCACUUAACAGAUAAAGAUAUUAUAAAUUCGGAUGUAACUGAUAAUGGCAAUACAAACUUUCAAACAAAACAAGUAUCGAUUUUUCCUAACUUGACGGAAAAAACAGAAGAAUUGAUACAUAUCAAAACAAAUUUUAGUAAAAGUAAGAUGAAUUCUCAAAAAAUAUCUUCAAUCGUUCCACCUAUUAGACAUUCAAAAAACAUUGAACAUGACGAUCUAAAGUUCCAAACAAAACAAGAAUAUAUUCCAGGACCUCGAGUGCCGGAUGAAACUAAUGAAAUUAUUUCAACUCAUAGAAUGAGCGCCAGUAACUCGGAGUCCCAACAUUUAACUCCGGUUGGUGAAACAUUCACUUAUUUAACUACAAUUCCGUUCACAUUAGCACAGUUGGGAGAGUUACGCGAUUUGAGCACAGAUAAAGAAUCAUAUACCUACAUGAAUAAAGGUACAAAAUCGACUAUAUAUGAUUUUGACAUAAGUAAUAUGAAAAAUAAUACUGAAACUGUUAAGAGUCAAAAUACACAUUUCAUGGAUAAAAUUGUUUCUGAUAAUGACGCAAAUUAUUUCUUAACAAAACAAAAAUCUAUUAUCCCUGAUAUUACGCACAAAACAAAAGAAAUAAUACAUACCAAUUUAAACAAAAUGAGUGGACAAGUGGACAGCAAGACAAAGUCUCGACAUUUAUAUACAACUAGUGAAAUAUUUGUUUAUCAAACAGAAGUCCCUUUUACAUUAACACAAUCGGGAGUGUUAAUUGACCCAAGAAAAAAUAAAGAAUCAUAUGCACCAAUAAUAGAUACACAUAUAAAAUAUAAGAAUUAUACUGAUCAUGACGAUCCAAAUUUUCAAACAACACAAGAAUUUAUUCGUCCUCAAAUAACAGAUAAAAAUGAUGAAACAAAACAUAUCCCAACCAAAAAAAUUAGUAUAAUAAACUCGGAGUCAGAAACUAUAUUUCCAAUUGAUAAAAGAUUUACUUAUCUAACUCAAGCUCCUGACAAAUUCACACAUUUGGGAGAAAUAACUGAUUCGACCACAAAUAAAAAAGCAAUUACUUACAUGAGUAAAGGUAAGACGAAUAUUUUCGAGUCCGAUAAUAUUUCUACCACAAGUCAAAAUAUAUCACUAAUGGAUAAAAAAAUCAGAAAUUCGAAUGUAAUUGUAAAUGACACUAUACAUUUUCAAAGAAAACAAAAAAUUAUUUCUCCUGAAAUAAAAGAUGAAACAAAAGAAAUAAUACAUGUCCCAACCAAUAAAAUUAGUGUAACUAAGAAGGAAUUGCAACAUUUGUAUCCGAUUGGUAGAACUGGGACUUCUCUAACAGAAGUCCCUUUCUCAAUAACAGAAUUGGGAGAAUUAAGCUUUAAGUUUAAUUCGAGCAAAAGUAAUGAAGAAUAUACCUACAUGAGCAAAGAUACAACAAAAUCGUCAAUUUUUGAUAUUGACACAUAUAACAUGAAAGAGAGUGAUGUAGCUUUUAAAAGUGGUAUAUUUUCAAAUAUACCAUCAAUAGAUAAUACGACUAAAAACGGCCAAAAUUUUCAUACUCAACAAGAAUUUAUUCUUCCACUAGUAACGGGUGAAAUAAUUUCAUCUCUAACUACUAAAAUGAGUGCAAAUAACUCUGAGUCACAGAACACAUCUCCGAACGAAGAAAAAUUAACUUAUUUCACAGAAAUCCCUUUUAAAUUUACAGAUUCAAGGGUCUUAGGCGAUUCGAGUAUAAAUACAGAAUCAUAUGCACCAAUUACACACAUUAGACAUUCGGAUGAAACUGACAUUGGCACUCCAAUUUUACAAACUACACAAGGAUUUAUUUUUCCUCAAGUGACGGAUAAAACAAGUGUAACAAAAAAUACUCCAACCAAUAAAAUGAUUUUAAUCAAUUUGGACGUACACCAUUCAUCUCCAAUUGAUGAAACACUUACAUAUCCAACAGAAGUCCCAUUCACAUUACCACAUUCGAGAGAGUUAAGCGGUGCAAGCACGAUAAAACAGGAUACCGACAAGAGCAAAAGUAGUAAAAAUUUUUUACCUAUUGUGGGUAUAUCAAAAUUACCAAAUUUAAAGGUAACGCACAAUGAGCAACAUGCUGGCACUUCAAUUUUACAAAAGUCUGUAAAUACUAAAUAUAAAUCAAAUAAUAAAAUUAAAAGUAACAUUGAUUAUUUAGAAGUUAUAUCAAUAACUGAGCCAUCGAUGUUAUCAAACCAAAUAGGAAUGACAACAUCUAAGUUAAAUAACAUAAUUUUGGAUACUACAAAAAGUAUAGAAAAACCCGGAGUACAUGAGAGUAUUACAGAACGACAUCAUACAUUUUUAAUUACCUCUCCCAUGACCAAGACUACUUUACAAAAUUCUGAAAAUACUUUUAAUUACAAACAGACAACAACACAAUACACUGAUUUCAUUGAAAACUUAACAAAUUCGUUUAUGACAGAUGGACAAUUUGACCAACACACGAAAGAAAUUAAAACAAAAAGCAAUUUUAAUAAAGUUUCUAAAGAAAACAAUUUUUUGGGUAAAACAUCUAACAAAAUUGGACACAAAAAUAAGUUAUUAAACCAAGAAUAUUCAACUAUCUCUACAAGCACAGUAAUAAAUGAACAAGCCUUGGAGUAUACAACAAAUUAUAUUCAAAAUCCAAAACAGAAAAAUAUAACUGCAACGAAUGGCCAUAUACUCAACAUAAAAGAAGACGAUAAAAUAAAAAUAACUAAAGACAUACAGAAAAAUUUUAGUUUUCAACAAAAUCCACUGUUAAAUACACAUUUUACUAUGAGUCAUGGCAAAAACCAUAAUUUGUUAACUUCUCAAGCAGAUUGGAAGGAUCAAAUAGAAGUACUAAAAUAUACAAAUAAAUUCGAGCCAGCACAUUAUAAAACUAAAAUUAAUAAUUCAAAUAAAUAUUACAUUCCAAAUAUCAAAAAAUUGAAAAUUAAUAUAACUCACGACAAAAUUUAUACAAAUAUGAUAAAGACUCCAAUAUCUGUAUCUAGGAUAACGAUAGAUGAAGACUUGCAAAAACUUUCAAAUGUAACAGAUAUAAGAGAUUCAAAUCUGUACAAACUGUCUACAUCUGAAAAACAAUAUCAACAGGUACAACGAACUUUCAAGCAUAAAUCUACUAGCAAUUUGCGGAAAACCACGCUUCCUCAUUCUCAAAGCAAUUCAAAAAAACAAAUUUCUAUAGUUAAGAAAUCUGAGGGAAGACUUUUCAAACCAACUUCUGUAAAAGUAUUUUCAAAUAACUUUAUAAAAACUCAUAAAAUAACAGAUACUCCCGAAAUAUUACAUCCAGAAAUCCAUCCAUUUAUAACAGAUCAAACACCACAAAACGUUGAAAUACCACUAAACCCAAAAAAGGUGAAAAAAUUAGUUUCUGGAAUUCCAGUAACUAAUGAAUAUAAGUACUUUAAGGAAACUACUCAAAGAGAUUUAAGUAUAGAGGGAACGUCAACAAUUCCACCUGCAAUUGAACAAGUGUCAGGACAAAUAAUAUCAUCUCAUCACAUCUUAAAUCCGGCCAGUGAACACUAUAUCAAUAAAGUUAUAGAUAGUACUAAUAUAAAAAUAUCAACUAUUCCAAAAUCCAAUAUAAUCCAAGAAAAAAAAUAUUCAAAUUCACAUAACACUGAUCCAUUUAUAUUGCCUACUGAAAUAUUUCCAAAUGACAAAAGACCAGUACAUUUUAUUACUAAAAUAUUCAGAACAGGAAAAAUAAAUAAAAACCCCUCAAUUGAGGUCGAUAAAGUGACAAAUACUCCUCUUAUAUCAAAUAAUAUACAAAACAUGGUAGAUACGACCCGAUUUAACGAAAUCAAUACAGAAAGAGUACAAUAUGUAGCUAAUAUGCCUAUAAAAGUAAUCACAGAAUUACCAGAUGGUAGCAUUUUAAAUUCAAGUUUAAACUAUAAAGUGUCUUCCUUUCCUUUACGAUCUCAAUAUCAGCAAUCACAGACAACUACAUCAUCUAAUGAUAUAACAUACAACAUUCCACCGGUAUCAAAAAAAUAUAUAGAAUCUAUAGAAAUCACAAAGAAAGAUAAAAUUACUGGGUCAUCUAGUCCGAUAACUUUAUUUGCAAAAGAGUACAUGAAAGGAAAAUCCCCUGAUACACAUUCAACAUCAAGAUAUUUUGAAUUGCCGAUGAAAGACUCUAUUCCAAUCCAAUCAGAUCAUAAUCAAAGACCUUCUUUUAUAGUAGAUUUAGACCUUUCACCAAAAUUGGAAGAAAUGUUUGGUAUUGAUGACUCAGAAAAUUUAGGCCGACCAGACAAAGAUAAAGCGGUAUUACGAGCUUCGAAAACUGGACAAUCAUCUGUUCCUUUUAAACCAAUAAAAUCACCUGAUUUAAAAGUUCCAUACAAAGCAACAAAAGUUUCAACCAUAAUUUUACCAUCAUAUUCUAAGAACACAUUUUUAAAGUAUACUUCAAAAGAACGUUAUGUGAAUGAUGCAUCAACAAAAUCUUCGGUAGAUAUUAAUUAUGACUUUACCACAAAACCAUCUUUCUACCCUAGCUUUAUAUUAAGACAAAAAUCUUAUUACAUAAAUGAUAAAAAUAUAAUGACAUCAAACGAAUCAAAUAUCGAAAUAAAUACUAACACUAAAGUAAUUACGAAUUCAAAAUCAAAUAAAUCUACAAAUGAAGACACAACGAAUGAAGACUCAAAUAAUAAUUAUAUUACGCCCAUAAAACCGAAAAAUAAAUUACUUUUUAACAAUUCAUAUAUUAAUUUUAAUGAAAAUUCCACCAAACCUCCAAACACAUCUGAAAUAAAUACUCCAACUCAAAUUUAUGGACAUAAUAUUGAUAUAAGAAACCAAACAGAAAAUAAUGCAAAUGUUGAAAGGGUAGACCAUCUUAUUGAUAGUACUGUAAAAUAUAGAAUAAAUAAUUACAUUAAUAAAAAUUCAGUUAGACAUUCAACGGAAACAUCAACUACUGUUGAAAGUGGAGGCAUGAAGACUAUAAAAUACAAUACAUUUAAUCCAAUUUCUGAUGAAGAAGUUUCUUUAGAAAAUCACCGAAAAACUGAAAAAGAAUGGAUAUUUAAUCAAAUUAAUAGCUGGAGUCAUAUGCCUAAUAUUAAAAAUACAACAACUUGUGAAUUAAUAUACAAACUUAGUAACCAAAUAGCUAAAACUGUACCUGUAUUAAUACAACUGCUUAAAGCAUCUAAUUGUACACUAGUUGAAGAAUUGCGACGUUUAAAUAUAACGGAGUCACAAAUAAUGAAACCUAAAGUAACUAUUGCACCAUCGAGCACACCCAAACUUACUUCUUCCAUAAUUACUUCUACUACUAUACCUACUUUAAGAACAACAGAAAUGCUGAAGAAACCGCUCAAACAUUUGGCUAAAACAAAAUUAUUUCCGGUUAAAAUUCAACAAAACUUGCGGAGAUUUAAUUUUAUCAAUAAAAAUAUUAUAGAAUCCACACCACGAAUAACAACAGCCGCUCAAACAUAUUUAACCGAAAAAAAACACGAAUUCUCUAGACACCCAAUAACUGUCAACCCUCACACAUUUCGUCCACAUCGGAAACCAUUGAAAAUACAUAGAAAAUUAAUACCUGCAAAACCUCUGUUAUCGCAGCCUUAUGUACCGAGACUAUCUCCCAAACAAGUCACACCACGUCAGAGAAAUAUACUAUUAAGACCAAAAUUUCAAGGCACUGAUCCAAAAGAUUUUAAAGUUAAGCGUUACAGUCCAAAGCCUCUUAUAAGGGAUGUGGGAUUUUUUAGAGAAGACUUUCAACAUCACAAACCAAGUCUCUCAUGGCGAGACAGAAUGAAGUUUUUACAAGGGAUAUUGCACAAGAAAAUUCCUAGAACAAGUACAGAAGAUACUGAAUCGGUGUUAGACGUGCCUCAUGUACAACUUGCAGGAGGGAUCAAGUCGAAAUUUCUGAGAGAUAGGAUAAAUUCUAUAAGGAGUUACGUUUACAGCGCAGACUUCAGUAAAACAACGGCUCGAACCUUAUCAAAGACCUAUUUCUUUAGUCCAGAAUUUUCAGAUUUGUCAAAAGAGGAACAGAUCAUAGGUCCAUUGGAAGCAGUGUACCUAAGAAGGAACAACCAGGAUAAACGAGAUACUCCGAUGACAGCAGUUCCUACAACCACCAAUAAUCCUGGCAAAUCGCGCAGAACACCAAGAACCAUAUUCUUCUUAAGCCCGACGGUCCCAUAUAACCGAUAUUUUUAAGUAUAAUUUUUUAAUAUUACGAUUAAAAAGUAUGAAAAUA
This is a long non-coding RNA of Plodia interpunctella (Indianmeal moth), 19172 nucleotides long. RefSeq lists it as uncharacterized. Lineage: Eukaryota; Metazoa; Arthropoda; Insecta; Lepidoptera; Pyralidae. The transcript has 2 exons. The record is from RefSeq and is a predicted model, not a curated record.